ACUGGUCGACACAUCUAGAGAGUAUCGGACUGAGUCGGAAUCGUUUCUGCGCGAAAUGGAUGUAGAAAUGGACUCGGCGCACUCAAAUAAGCAAAACUGUAGUUUUGCUAGAUUCGGGCACCCAGAAUUGGCCUUGGGUCGUCCAGAAGUUGAGUGCAGAACUGAGCAGAACUGGAAGCCAAUUCAGGUUCAUGUUUCAGGCGCCCGGAUGAGGGUUCGAAAAGUUCACCUCGUGAGUAUCGUUUGCGCUGACACGUGGCUCGUGGUUGGUGAGGUCCGCCGGAGCCGGAUACGGGCGCAGCACACCGCGGGCGGAGAGUCCGAGGAAGAAGCUUUGUGUAGCCUGGAGCAUUCGGGCGCCCAUAAUGUGGGUCCGGGCGCCCGGAAGUGCCCGAGUCUGCAGGGACACCAGAUUGCAGCAGCUGUUCUUGGGGCUUAUUCUACCAUUCCAGCACCCUAUAAAUAGGGGGAACUCGACUCCUGUGACCUCUUUUCUCCCUCUCUUCACAGUGAAGACUUAGAAUUGCAUCUAACACCUCAAAUUACUCCGAUUUCCCCAAAUUGCUCACUCUCUACUUUGAGGAGUGCUGUUCUAGCAGUUUUCCAGUAGCGACCGUCGGUAUUUCGGCUCGUGUGCGACGUAGGAAGCUCCGUUUUCCACGAAACUUGGUUUGUUGGAUUCUAGACUUCAAGAGGAAUCCGUGGAGCCCAAUUUUACAGAUUUUGGUUGAGGUUAGCUUGGUCGAUUUUGGGUUUUUCUUUGCUGCUGAUGUUUUGGUCCUGAAUUUGAGUUUCUUUGGUUGUUAUGGACCAAUUCGUGGAGAGAGCUGGAAUUUCGGCCAGUGGAAGUUGUGCCAUCAUUUUCCUACUGAUUUGGAGGGUGUUCAUCAUCUGAAUUGAGAAUUUGGGGAUUGAUAGAUCUUCAGAGGAAAUUGAGUUUGGACCAGAGGGUGAUAUUCCAUCUUGGUUUACUGGUUUGGGACUUUGCUACACCUGAUUUGGGUUGUGAAAGAGCCUUGGAGAAGUAUUGUUACUGUUGCAGCGUGAUCUCGGCUGAACCUCCUGGUGUUUUCGGGACCUUCUUGCUGCCGUGGAAUUCCUUUGAAGAGCCGUCGUCUUCGGCUGCUACUGUUGCUGAUAUUGAUCGUGGCAAGGGCGUUGCAAGUUAGAGCCCUUCCAGACGAGUCGCAGAGCUAGAGGAGCACCAGUUACAGGUAGUUGUAGUUUCUGAGUCUUUACAUACAGUUGUUGUAUCUCGCCAGAGCGUACCCUGGAUGAAAUGUAUGUAUUGAACCACAGUUUUUAUAUAUGGUUUAUUUUUCUAGCUACUCUAUA
Molecule: long non-coding RNA, 1335 nt
Organism: Ananas comosus (pineapple)
Lineage: Eukaryota; Viridiplantae; Streptophyta; Magnoliopsida; Poales; Bromeliaceae
Exons: 4
Source: RefSeq, a predicted model, not a curated record